This 71-nucleotide transfer RNA is filed under the name Loxodonta africana (African savanna elephant). It matches the Rfam family "tRNA". From Rfam's summary of the family: Transfer RNA (tRNA) molecules are approximately 80 nucleotides in length. Their secondary structure includes four short double-helical elements and three loops (D, anti-codon, and T loops). The record is from Rfam by way of RNAcentral. Lineage: Eukaryota; Metazoa; Chordata; Mammalia; Proboscidea; Elephantidae.
GCACUGGUGUUUCAAUGGUAGAAUUCUCGUCUCCCAUACAGGAGAUCUGGGUUCAGUUCCUGGCCAGUGCA